AAAAAAAUAAAUUAAAAAAAAAACCUCAAAUGACACGGAAUGGACCACAUAAUACUAAGCUAAAAUUAUUAUCAUCAUUGACUGCGCAAUACAAAAUACUAAAGCCUCAUAUUAUCUCACAAAUACAAACUCCUAUUCGCCAAGGACUCUUCAAUAUCAUCUUUUUUAUGGAUGGUAACUUUUCAAUCAAUAUUAAAGUACUUUCUAAUAUUAUUUUGUUUAUUGCCCAAUCUAAAAGAAAGAUUAGAGCUGAAGCUCUUCAAAGAUUCAGCAGCAAACCAAACAGGAAAAGAGAAGUCACUUCAAAUAAAUAUUCCAACUUAUUCGCAGUUUUCCAGCAAAGUUAUAAUCAUUUUCCAAGCAAAAGGCCAUAAACAUUUCACCUCUUUGGCCAAGUUGCCUGAAAUGAUUUCUCGGUUAAAAAAAGACAAUAUUCCCCUCAGACUUACUAGUGACCCCAAACAUCUAAGCUUCACAAACAUUAAAUUACAUACCUUUUAUUAAUUAUUUUAGGCUCAUAACAUCAUCCAAUUGGACUAGCCAAACUAACCUGGUGCAAUCAAACAUUCAAGAGAAAUGGCAAUAAAGCAAAGAGCUUGAUAACAUUAUUUUCUCAAUAUCUCAAUGUUCAAAUACAAUUAGGGACAAACCUAGGUGUCUACUGUGGGAAAUGUAUACUCCAAAUUUGCCAUUUAGCGUACUGAGCAUGGAUUCAUCCCAAUCGCAGUGAUUGGGUGGACCCCAGACUCGCAGGCCACAAAAAUGGACACGUUACAAUUUUUGAAGCUGGAGAAAUAUCUGAUCUUGUCACCAGUUCUAGCCACAAUUCAUGAUGAUUAAGUGACAAAUAACAUCCUAGUAUCACCACCAUGUAUCUAGAAGAACCCUUCUUUUCCCUGACCUAUCCAUUAUCUUAACAUGACAAAAAUCCAAACCUAGCAAAUUUUAGUAGAUUAUGCUUGAACACAUCCCACACAUCCAUUAUGGCCAUUACUUGGACAAGCUAGAGCAAGUUGGCAUUAUACUAAUUUAAAUAAAACAAAUCCAUCAUAGAAAGGUCAUCAUUACAGAGAGUAAAAGCAAGCAUGGCAGCAGAAACCGAUCACAAAAUAUUUCUUUGAACCAACUUUAGAAAGAUUCAUAAGUUACUUAUUAAGCUAAAAAAAAAAGAGAUGUGAAUAAAUCAUUGCAUACAUCCUCAAAACUGACAAUUGAUGUGCAUAAACAAAAAUUCCAAACAUUGACACAUAAGUAAACCUAAGCUUAGAGAAAUACAAGAGUGAAUUACGAACCAUAUCGAAAUGUUUCCAGUUCCCUACAACAAUCUCAAAACCAAAAACAAAAACAAACCCAAUUCAGAAGGAAAAGCAAAAAAUAUGAAUUACUGAUAAAAUAUUUCACGGUAAACAUGUACAAAAUUGAGGUCACCUAACUAAUAAUUCCACAGAAUAGAAUCAUAGAUCCAGAAGCAUAAUGAAACAAGCUAAACAUGAGCACCCAAAAGAUAGAUACACAUGCAAAAAAACAGACUAAAAUUAGAUGAGAGAAAGAUAGAGGGACCUGGUUUGAAGGCGUGGAAAAAAUAGUGAGGUGGAAGUCCAGGUGGGAUAUUUUAUAAAGACUAGCCAAGGAAAGAAGAAUGAGCACUUCUUUUGUUCUAGAUACUUUCCCUUUUCUCUAAAAGAUCAACGGCUGAGAGUUGAAGGUGAAGAACAAUCAAAAAGGCCUAAGAAUAUGCAAGUCGAAUGUCCACAUAGAGAGAGAGAAAGAGACAAGACAUACAAAUAGAACCCAGCAAUCCCCUUCUAAUCUCAGUUUCAGUGUCUCUAUUGUCUCUCUUAUUAAGUCAGAAAUAUUGGGUUUUGUCUUAAAAACAAAAC
Molecule: unclassified non-coding RNA, 1880 nt
Filed under: Hevea brasiliensis (rubber tree)
Lineage: Eukaryota; Viridiplantae; Streptophyta; Magnoliopsida; Malpighiales; Euphorbiaceae
Source: RNAcentral